This 753-nucleotide long non-coding RNA is filed under the name Anas zonorhyncha (Eastern spot-billed duck). RNAcentral's name for it is "lncRNA (ENSAZOG00000002251.1)". Lineage: Eukaryota; Metazoa; Chordata; Aves; Anseriformes; Anatidae. The record is from RNAcentral.
AAGGGUAAAAUGCUGCUCAGCAGUGGGGAGCAAGGAGGAAAAAGUGUGAGAAACCGCUGUGCAAAGUGUAAGGUUAAACAUAGACUUAGGAAUGCCAUCCUGAGAUUUUUCCCGAGUCUGGGUAUUUGUGAGUGGCAGCAAGUGCGGGAGGAUAUGGAUUGGUAUCUAGAGCAGUGGAUAACUCCAGUGUUUUUGAAAUUCACCCCUGAACAACUGGAAAUUCCUAAAAAACUGGUAGAACACUUGAAAAAGGGAUGUCAUGACUCUGGCAAUUCCAAAGAGACACAAUUCGCUGUAGCGUGCCAUGGUCUGGCCUAUGCCUGUCGAGCUUCAAUCGAUGCUACUAUAACUCUAGUGACAGACCCUGUGGCCACUCCAAGUCCUGAGACAGGCCCGAUGGCCCCUGCAGCCCCUGCAGCCACUCCAACCCCUACAAUGGACCCUGCGGCCACUGCAGUCCCUGCAGUCACUCCAACCUCUGCAGCCACGUCAGCCCCUGUGGCCUCUCCAGCUCCUGUGGCUACUCCAGCCCCUGCAGCUUCUCCAGCCCCUGUGGCUACUGCAGCCCCUGUGGUUUCUUCAGCCCCUGCGGUCUUUCCAGCUCCCAUGGCUUCUCCAGCUCCUGUGGCCACUCCAGCUCCUGCGGCCAGUCCAACCCCUGUGAUUGGCCCAGCGGUGGUUCCAGCUCCUGUGACAAGCCCAGCAGUCAUUCCAGCCCCUGUGGCAGGUCUUGUGGCUGGGGCAGAGAAAUGA